Molecule: small nucleolar RNA, 129 nt
Filed under: Electrophorus electricus (electric eel)
Lineage: Eukaryota; Metazoa; Chordata; Actinopteri; Gymnotiformes; Gymnotidae
Description: Small nucleolar RNA ACA64
Rfam family: Small nucleolar RNA ACA64
Source: Rfam by way of RNAcentral
AUGGACUGAAAAUUACCCCAGUUGUCUGUCUUCUGGAGUAAGAUAACUGUGCCAACAGCAGCUUGGUACAUUUUUGCUUAUUGUCAGUUCAUGCUGUAACUGCCCAAUGAAACCCAUGUGCCUACACCC